Molecule: ribosomal RNA, 569 nt
Filed under: uncultured bacterium
Lineage: Bacteria
Description: bacterial SSU rRNA
Rfam family: Bacterial small subunit ribosomal RNA
Source: RNAcentral
UCCUCGAAGCCCCCCAGGGGGAUUUUUGGCCAAUGGGGGAAACCUUGACCCAGGGACCCCGGGUGGGGGAAAAAGGCCUUCGGGUUGUAAACCCCUUUUAGGUGGGACGAAUUCCUCCCGGUUAAAAGCCGCCAGGUUUGACGGUACCUCCAGAGAAAGCCCCGGCUAAUUCCGUGCCAGCAGCCGCGGUAAUACGUAGGGGGCAAGCGUUGUUCGGAAUUAUUGGGCGUAAAGGGCGCGUAGGCGGCUUGGCAAGUCGGGUGUGAAAUCCCUCGGCUCAACCGGGGAAUGUCGUUGGAAACUGCCUGGCUAGAGUCCGGAAGAGGGAAGUGGAAUUCCCGGUGUAGGGGUGAAAUGCGUAGAUAUCGGGAGGAACACCGGUGGCGAAGGCGGCUUCCUGGCCCGUACCUGACGCUGAGGCGCGAAAGCGUGGGGAGCAAACAGGAUUAGAUACCCUGGUAGUCCCACGCCGUAAACGAUGGGCACUAGGUGUGGGGGGUAUCGACCCCGCCCGUGCCGCAGCUAACGCAUUAAGCGCCCCGCUGGGGGUACGGCCGCAGGCGAAUCCC